RNAcentral lists this ribosomal RNA (547 nucleotides) under uncultured bacterium. Its description in RNAcentral is "partial 16S ribosomal RNA". It matches the Rfam family "Bacterial small subunit ribosomal RNA", at positions 355 to 895 of the family's 1533-position model. The record is from RNAcentral.
UGGGGAAUUUUGGACAAUGGGCGAAAGCCUGAUCCAGCAAUGCCGCGUGUGUGAAGAAGGCCUUCGGGUUGUAAAGCACUUUUGUCCGGAAAGAAAUCCUUGGUUCUAAUAUAGCCGGGGGAUGACGGUACCGGAAGAAUAAGCACCGGCUAACUACGUGCCAGCAGCCGCGGUAAUACGUAGGGUGCGAGCGUUAAUCGGAAUUACUGGGCGUAAAGCGUGCGCAGGCGGUUUGCUAAGACCGAUGUGAAAUCCCCGGGCUCAACCUGGGAACUGCAUUGGUGACUGGCAGGCUAGAGUAUGGCAGAGGGGGGUAGAAUUCCACGUGUAGCAGUGAAAUGCGUAGAGAUGUGGAGGAAUACCGAUGGCGAAGGCAGCCCCCUGGGCCAAUACUGACGCUCAUGCACGAAAGCGUGGGGAGCAAACAGGAUUAGAUACCCUGGUAGUCCACGCCCUAAACGAUGUCAACUAGUUGUUGGGGAUUCAUUUCCUUAGUAACGUAGCUAACGCGUGAAGUUGACCGCCUGGGGAGUACGGUCGCAAGAUU